UAGGGAAUCUUCCGCAAUGGACGCAAGUCUGACGGAGCAACGCCGCGUGAGUGAAGAAGGAUUUCGGUUCGUAAAACUCUGUUGUUAGAGAAGAACAGCGCAUAGAGUAACUGUUAUGCGUGUGACGGUAUCUAACCAGAAAGCCACGGCUAACUACGUGCCAGCAGCCGCGGUAAUACGUAGGUGGCAAGCGUUGUCCGGAUUUAUUGGGCGUAAAGCGAGCGCAGGCGGUUAGAAAAGUCUGAAGUGAAAGGCAGUGGCUCAACCAUUGUAGGCUUUGGAAACUGGUUAACUUGAGUGCAGAAGGGGAGAGUGGAAUUCCAUGUGUAGCGGUGAAAUGCGUAGAUAUAUGGAGGAACACCGGUGGCGAAAGCGGCUCUCUGGUCUGUAACUGACGCUGAGGCUCGAAAGCGUGGGGAGCGAACAGG
This 428-nucleotide ribosomal RNA is filed under the name Bacteroidota bacterium. Its description in RNAcentral is "Bacteroidetes bacterium partial 16S ribosomal RNA". It matches the Rfam family "Bacterial small subunit ribosomal RNA", at positions 355 to 776 of the family's 1533-position model. The record is from RNAcentral. Lineage: Bacteria; Pseudomonadati; Bacteroidota.